Molecule: long non-coding RNA, 576 nt
Organism: Artibeus jamaicensis (Jamaican fruit-eating bat)
Lineage: Eukaryota; Metazoa; Chordata; Mammalia; Chiroptera; Phyllostomidae
Exons: 3
Source: RefSeq, a predicted model, not a curated record
UGACUAGAUGGAAUGCCCACAAAUAGUUCAAAUGCGCAAAUGCUUUGAAAAUUCAGAAGUAGUAGGAAACAUUACAUCUGAAGUCCCAGGAUAUUUCAUGUUAAACUGUGUGGCUGGAAUUAGUGUGCAAGCUGAUGAAUUAACCUCUGGUGCAUUUGGAAAUGUUACCCUGAUGUACAUUUAAAUGGCUCACAUGAAGCACCAGGGAUUGAAGAUGGAGUGGAGAACAUCAUUGAAUGUGUGCCCCCAUCCUGCUUGAUCUUAUGGAUCAGAGAAGAAAAUAAACAAUGUUCCCUGUAGCAGGAAGAAAGAGCCUCCUGGGCGGGCGAAACUGCGUCCACAUGCCUCCUUUCCCAGUAAGAUGUUGGGAAGUUCGCAUCUGCACUCGGGGCUUCCUUCCUCCGCUCUGUGAGGUCCUCGGUUGUCUACCUCUCCGGGAGGGAGAAUGGAAUGAGAUGAUGCUGGGAGAUGCUUGGCCGGUGGCGGGAAUCACUCGGCGACUGCUCCUUCCUUCCUCCUACUUCUCCUUUACGCUUGUUGUUCAAGUUACUGUUUUCUCAGAACACAGGAAUUACA